CCCUUAGAUGUUCUGGGCUGCACGCGCGCUACACUGAAGCGUUCGACGAGUAUUCACCUUGCCCGGGAGGGUUGGGUAAUCUUUUUAAAACGCUUCGUGAUGGGGAUAGAUUAUUGCAAUUAUUAAUCUUCAACGAGGAAUUCCUAGUAAGCGCGAGUCAUCAGCUCGUGCUGAUUACGUCCCUGCCCUUUGUACACACCGCCCGUCGCUCCUACCGAUUGAAUGACUCGGUGAAAAAUUGGGACCGUGAGUCUGUUUGCUUCAUUGCGAGUGGAUUGAUGGGAACUUUUUUAAACCUCGCCAUUUAGAGGAAGGUGAAGUCGUAACA
Molecule: ribosomal RNA, 328 nt
Filed under: uncultured eukaryote
Lineage: Eukaryota
Description: partial 18S ribosomal RNA
Rfam family: Eukaryotic small subunit ribosomal RNA
Source: RNAcentral